Long non-coding RNA from Onychostoma macrolepis, 3292 nucleotides. RefSeq lists it as uncharacterized. NCBI's taxonomy places the organism in Eukaryota, Metazoa, Chordata, Actinopteri, Cypriniformes, Cyprinidae. The record is from RefSeq and is a predicted model, not a curated record. The transcript has 3 exons.
ACUUUUUUUUUUUUUUAAUCCAACACAACUUAUUACAGGAACAGUGAGCUGGGCAUCUAUGUGUGUUCUCCUGGAAACUGAGCCCAAACUGGUCAUGAUCUUGAAAUAAGUGCUAAGUCUUAGUGCUCGUAAGCAAUGUGUUAAUAUUUAAAAGUGGAGACCAACGUGUCAGUUGUUUUCAUCUCUCCAUCUGCAGUCAUCCAUCAGCGGGACUGUCACUCGGGGCGGCUGGGAUGGCCAGAGGAUGUGAGUAAUCCUCUGAGUGACUCCACAGAACGACUUGGCUGAACUUUCAUUCAGCAGUCACCCUGAACCCUGCACACGCUGCCAAUACCGCAGCCAGGCUGCCAUUAUUGGUCAGGCUCUACCUGACUGAGUGGAAGGAAAUAGGAUGAGGAAAAAAAGGCUUUUGACUCAAUGGUAGUGAGGAGGGCCAGGUGCAUUCUGGGAACUGCGGUGCCCUAAGGGGGCCCCUGAAGGAGAGCUGAAGGGCGUGGCCCCCUCCUGCUGUGGUUUACAGCUCACUUGUCAUUUCUGCAGACACGUUGGCAGGGCAACCGGCACUUUUCCUCAGGGCUGGUGUUCGCACACAACAUAAUCCUGGCGGAGGCUGUCAUUUCAGCAACCUCCGUCUUUUUUAAGCACUUUUUUUAAGUUGUCAUUUGGGCUGUUUGUGUGACUUUAUGCAUGCCUGUUCAGUUUCAAGGGCAGCCCAAAAACCGUAGCGGCUUUUUUUAGCCUGUAGUGUUUGUGUGUGUGUGUGUGUGUGUGUAUGUGCGAGCGUUUGUGCGUUUGCUCAACUAUACCCACACGAUACCCUCUGGUGUGUCCUUGGGAGUCUGAAAAGUCUUUGGUCUGGCCUGAUUGGCUCUCUCUGCCAGAGGCCUGUAAUGAAUCAUUCGGAAAGAGGAUUCCACAGUGUUUUUCUCCGGCUCGGAUAAACACAUGUUUUUUCCAUUCACCCUCUCAAGGAAGCACCGAGCUUGUGAGUAACUUGACCUGCAUUUCAAAGACGCUGUUCAUCAUAUUGUAGUUGGCUUGGAAAGUAUGGCUAAACUUCCUCGGGCAACCUCAGAACUAUUGAAGAGAUAACAAGAGGGGAGAGUGUUUGGAGCAAUAAAUCCUGACACGAUAAUAAAUGGUAAUCAAGUUAGCAACUUUCAGAAUCUCUUGUGCCAACAACCACAGAUGUUUGUUGAUGUCUGUCUCGAAGCUUUCAUCAGUGUUACACGAGGACAUGUCUUUGUCAACAUGAAUUGUGCCCGACGUUCUCAGUGCCGAUGGCUAUUAAGUUAUGUAAUGUGUGCAUGCCAAAAUGAUCUGAUUAAUGAGGAGGAAAGUUGCAUUAACUUUUUUACAGUUAUGUUCAAAAAUGGCCUGAGCUACGCACAGUGGGUUUUUCUACAGUGUUCAAAUAUAUUUGGACCUAACAUAGAAAUGUAAUUGAUAUAUAAAGAGUUCAGAUGCAAAAGCCUCUAAGUGCCGUUUGAAAUUUUCUUCUAAAAUGAGCAUUUUUCUCAGGCUCCUAUAUGCUUAUGUUCAGUUAUUUCAUGUUAAUGGCAAUGAAAAUAACCUAUUCACUGCUUGGAGAUGAACUAGAUCUUAAAUAACUUAAAUAAUUAAAAAAAAAAUGUUAAUUAAUUUACUCCAUUGUAUGUGAGUAGGGCACACUUUUAAAUUCAAAAUUCUAAAUCAGUAAAAAAAAAUCCAAAAUAUGCUUAAGAGGUUAAAUUAAUUCCACCCAGUGAAUUUUAAAAUUAUAUGGUUUAGUCUUGGGUAAAGUGAGGGAAAUCUUUGACAUGAGUUCUUUUCAUUAAUUAAGUUAAUUAUAAUCAUCUAUUUAUUUCAAUGAGUUCAAUAUUCUAUGAACUUUAAAAGAUUUGCAAAUGUUUAUACAUCUCUAAAGUUGUUCAUAUGUAAAAUGUUUUAGAUUCUGUUAAUAAUGCACCUUUUUUGUGUCUAUGCAAAAAUGUAUAUGUGCUAGAAACAAAAUUUACAUAUGAGUACCUAUGAUUGCUAAUGAGAUCAUGCUAGUUGUCCACAUGCUCACAGCAUAGGAGUUGUUUGUUCAUGGCCCAAAUUACUUCGGAAAUGAUUUAUUUUGUUCUUGGUUGCUACCAUACUGGUUUGAUCAUAUGAGACUUUCUGCCUCUUCUUGUGUGAUCUGUUGGUCUAUAGCUUAAAAUGAUUUACUUAUCCAUAUAAAAGAGAAAUGUGCUUUUCAUUUUCAUCUUUGUCAGUCUCCAUUCAUUAUUUCCUGUUAUCAUUAUUCCAUUCUAUCUCUUUGUAUUUCUUGUUCCUGCAUUCUGAUUUCACCCUCUUUCUUUCAGAGGUUCUCCCUGCUGUUCUUUUUGUCACCCAUUUUCAUUCAAAGACUGAGAAAAAUGAGAAUCUGUCAAUCAAAUCAGGGCGCUGGUCGACCUCGAGGAUCAGAGCCACAGCUGCAGACACAGUAACCCAAGCUCUGUCUGGAGGCACCAGUCAUCCAAUCCACAAUCCAUCCAUCUCUCUCAUUCCCUCGCUUUCACCCUCCUCCAUCUCUCUGACAGGCUGUGACCUGCAUCCGUCCCACGCAGCACUCCUCUCCCCCAGGUCACCAUCCACCCCCCUUAUGGAACACUUAAUUCUUACGACUUCAGCAGAUUUUCCUCCUAAAAUCAGCUCAGCAAAUUCAGAAUAUUUGACACAUUCUGUCUGGGCCUCAAGAUGAGAGGAGGAAAUCGAAAGAUAUUUGUGCAGUUGACUUUACCUCCCCCAACAGGCCAUCUUAUACCUUCACAUCCUGAUUCCUGUGACCAGUUGAGAAAGAAGACCAAUCCAUAUUCAGUUUGUCCACCCAUAUACACAGAAAAACUUUUUUUGUGUGUGUUCAAAACUGCUCUAUAAGACUGAUGUUUUGCUAAACAUCAUUUUGAAAUCUGAUCCAUUUGUUCAGACAAUAAAGUGCGUAGUUAAUAUUGUUUGCUCUUAUGCUCAUCAAGGCUGCAUUUAUUUGAUAAAAAUACAGUAAUAUUGUGAAAUAUUAUUACAUUUUAAAAUAUCUGUUUUAUAGUUUAAUAUAUUUUUAAAUGUAAUUUAUUCCUGUGAUGCAAAGCUGAAUUUCCAGCAUCAUUACUCCAGUCUUGUCACAUGAUCCUUCAGAAAUCAUUCUAAUAUGCUGAUUUGCUGCUCAAGACACAUUUCUGAUUAUUAUCAAUGUUGAAAAAGUUGUGCUGCUUAAUUUUUUUGUUGAAUCCAUAAUAUAUAUGUUAUUCUUUGAUGUAUAGAAGACAUUAUACUGCCACUUGAUCAA